UGCACAGAGCAGUGUGACACUCCCGAAACGUUGGACUGCUAUUUUAGCAACCUCCUAAAUGAAGAGAGCCAACAGACAGACUGUCUGUGCCAGGCCAUAAUGUGCCAGGAGCCAAUGGGAUGCCGGGCUGUGCUCCAUGGACACCAAAGAAGUCAAAACUGCGUGAUUUCAGUCAACGUGCCAUUCAAGCCGGUCAUUUGAAUCUGAAACUCCAAGGCCUGUUUUCAAAGUUCUAGGCAAAGACUCUGUUGACCUGACUUAUCUGUGCAGCUUUAUUCAGGAGCUUUCCCCGGGAUCAAUUGACUACGGCUAGAAGAGCACUGCCCUGCAUACGUGUCUACAACACAUGUCAGUAGGUCAGGGGAUUUGAAGACCCACAAGGAGAGGGAUAAUGGACCUGGAAAAGUGCCUCUCCUGUGCUAUACGCCCUGGAGCUACUUCAACAAACAGAACAAACGCCAUCUCUGCACACACUGAGCUUCCGGCCUCGGAUGAGAAGGAGCAGAGGACAUGUCAACAAGCAGUGACAGUCAAGUGAGUGUCACAACAAGAGGACAACAUCCCAAAGGAUCGCACAGCGGCACCUGCACAAGGCAGGGUUUUCAGGGGAAGCAGCAUCUAAACUUGAAACUGAGGUUAGCCUGGUAGGCAGAGUCCACAAGACAGAACAGGGGUCCAGAGAAUGGAAGGAGGUGUCAGUGCCCAGUGCAUUUCAGCAGGGAAAGCCGGGGUGGGCAAAGGAAGGGAGAAGGGGGUGGAGGAGACGUGAGGACAAAUCAGACGGGCAUUGGGGAGUCAUGGUGAGACAGGAAUGAGGUUUGGGCUCUUUCCCUUUAUUUGACAUGCUUUUGGGGCAGAAACUCUUGCAUAUUACACGUGGCGUUAUUCUUUGCUCUAUAAUGAAUAAAUUAUAAAGGGCAUUUUUGUGUCUCUCGUGAGCUUACAUUGCUUAAAUUUUUUAGUCCUUAGUAUGCACAAGUGAAUUUCCCUGUGUCUGUGGUAGGUCCCAAAAAGUACUUCACUGCGUUUUCUUGAAAUUGACUCUUCUCUGAAAAGGUAAAAUAUGUGCCCACGGGAUUCCUAGAGCUUGGCCUACCAUUUCCUUUUCUUAUUUUAAAUUUUUGAUUCACUUAGUUCUAAAAUGCUGUUUCAUGAAAUCAUGUGUUC
This is a long non-coding RNA of Hipposideros armiger (great roundleaf bat), 1167 nucleotides long. RefSeq lists it as uncharacterized. The transcript is spliced from 4 exons. The record is from RefSeq and is a predicted model, not a curated record. NCBI's taxonomy places the organism in Eukaryota, Metazoa, Chordata, Mammalia, Chiroptera, Hipposideridae.